This 1335-nucleotide ribosomal RNA is filed under the name Triticum aestivum (bread wheat). RNAcentral's name for it is "partial small subunit ribosomal RNA". The record is from RNAcentral. Lineage: Eukaryota; Viridiplantae; Streptophyta; Magnoliopsida; Poales; Poaceae.
AUGCAUGGACAUAAGUGCAGAUUAAUACCAAAUGUCCAUUUGUUACAACAGGAAGUGGAGGAGCAACAACAAGAAGAAAUAGAGGAAGGAACACAACAUGAACAAGUUGAAACUAAUGAACAAGAAGAGCAAGUCAUGUUUCUCUCUGCUCAUGCUAUGGGCCAACAAUUGGCAGUGCCCACACCCACCAUUAUCAUACACAUCAAUGGCAAACGAGCAGUUGCUCUUCUGGAUUCAGGCAGUACAACUUCCUUUAUCAAUCCACAAUUUGCAGCUAAAGCUAGUUGCAAUAUAUUGCCAGUGAAACCAAGGGCCAUUGCUGUAGCUGGUGGGGCAAAGUUAAUAUCUGCAUCGGUAGUUCCAAAUUGUGAGUUCAUAGUUGCCAAAACAAAGAUUUCACACAACUUCAGAACUCUAGAUCUGCCCACCCAUGAUGUAAUUUUGGGUUAUGAUUGGUUUACUGCAGUUAGUCCUGUAGCUUUUGACAUUCCCAAGCAACAGUUCAGCUUCACACAAAAGGGGCAACAGUCAUUUUCUACAGCUAUCUUCACAAACCCUCAAACCACUAAGGAAGUACAAGCAGAGGGUGUGAAUAAGUUAAUGGAUAAAGGAGCAGAGGUAUUCUUAAUGCAAGUGCAUAAUAUACUUAUGGAAGUUCCAGAAGGGACCAAAACUCCUCCCCAAAUACAACAGUUACUCUUGAAAUAUGCUGAUUUGUUUGAGGAACCCACUGAACUUCCACCUCAUAGAGCAUUGGAUCACAAAAUUCCUUUGGUACCAGGAGCAAAUCCUCCACAACUGAGACCUUACAGAGUUCCACAACAUCAGAAGAAAGAAAUGGAAGAACAAAUCAAAAAGCUAUUGGCUAAACACUUGAUCAGACACAGCCAAAGUCCUUAUGCUGCUCCAGUCUUGUUGGUUAAGAAGAAGGACAGCUCUAUGAGGUUAUGCACUGAUUUCAGAAAGCUCAAUUCCCUAACAGUCAAAAAUAAAUUCCCAAUACCAGUAAUAGAGGAUUUAUUGGAUGAAUUGCAUGGAGCAAAGUAUUUCUCUAAACUGGAUCUGAGGUCUGGUUAUCACCAAAUACGAAUGCACCCAGAUGAUAUACAUAAAACUGCCUUCAGGACCUAUUUGGGGCAUUUUGAGUACUCAGUCAUGCCUUUUGGGCUGUCUAAUGCUCCUGGCACAUUUCAGGAACUGAUGAAUACUAUAUUUGCUCCCUAUUUGAGGAAGUUUAUGUUGUUGUUCUUUGAUGAUAUUCUCAUUUACAGCAGAAACCUCAAGGAAUAUUUGGAACAUGUUUCAGAUUGUAUUACAAGUGCUGAGAGACCAUAA